CAGCCGUAAACUAUGCGCGUUAGGUGUAUCGGUGACCACGAGUUACCGAGGUGCCGAAGGGAAACCGUGAAACGUGCCGCCUGGGAAGUACGGUCGCAAGGCUGAAACUUAAAGGAAUUGGCGGGGGAGGCACCACAACAGGUGGAGCCUGCGGUUUAAUUUGGACUCAACGCCGGAAAUCUCACCGGAUAGGACAGACAUAUGAUAGUCGGGCUGAAGACUCUACUUGAUGAUCUGAGAGGUGGUGCAUGGCGUCAGUGACU
This 263-nucleotide ribosomal RNA is filed under the name uncultured archaeon. RNAcentral's name for it is "partial 16S ribosomal RNA". It matches the Rfam family "Archaeal small subunit ribosomal RNA", at positions 748 to 1008 of the family's 1478-position model. The record is from RNAcentral.